RNAcentral lists this ribosomal RNA (479 nucleotides) under uncultured bacterium. RNAcentral describes it as "bacterial SSU rRNA". It matches the Rfam family "Bacterial small subunit ribosomal RNA", at positions 26 to 518 of the family's 1533-position model. The record is from RNAcentral.
AGGACGAACGCUGGCGGCGUGCCUAACACAUGCAAGUCGAACGGACGAGAGGAGCUUGCUCCUCAAGUUAGUGGCGAACGGGUGAGUAACGCGUGAGCAACCUGCCCUUCAGAGGGGGACAACAGCUGGAAACGGCUGCUAAUACCGCAUGACAUAUUUCCGAGGCAUCUCGGGGAUAUCAAAGAUUUAUCGCUGAAGGAUGGGCUCGCGUCUGAUUAGAUAGUUGGCGGGGCAACGGCCCACCAAGUCGACGAUCAGUAGCCGGACUGAGAGGUUGAACGGCCACAUUGGGACUGAGAUACGGCCCAGACUCCUACGGGAGGCAGCAGUGGGGAAUAUUGGGCAAUGGGCGCCAAGCCUGACCCAGCAACGCCGCGUGAAGGAAGAAGGCUUUCGGGUUGUAAACUUCUUUGACGAGGGACGAAGGAAAUGACGGUACCUCGAAAACAAGCCACGGCUAACUACGUGCCAGCCGCGGC